RNAcentral lists this long non-coding RNA (403 nucleotides) under Olea europaea (common olive). Its description in RNAcentral is "long non-coding RNA (OEUR_LNC011233)". The record is from RNAcentral. Lineage: Eukaryota; Viridiplantae; Streptophyta; Magnoliopsida; Lamiales; Oleaceae.
UGGAAUCUACUACCCAUUCGUAUUGCUAAAAUACACAACUAUUUAUAAUGAAUCACAUAGAAAAAAAAUACAAAACCCAUUAAAUGUAUUAUUUCACGUAUAGACAGAAAUAAUAGUGAUCACUCAAAAGGGCCGUUACCUUCAAAGAGGCAAAAUUCCAGAAAUCCUUCAAUUUCAAUGAAUAAGAACUAAAAUUGAGAAUAAAUUAAAUAAUUAAAAAAAGAUUACACCUGGUCAGCUGCUACAGAUAUUUUUUUGUGGGUUGGAAUUUUGCCCCCGUUCUUGGCCUUCAUAGCCUAGAGUCCCCACUUGCGGUACAUCUGGGAACACGAGUUCUUCUAGACCCCAUAUCGUAGCCAAGUAACCAAUAGCCCAUCCCAUCCCACCAUUAAAAAGCAAAGGG